AGUGGCGAACGGGUGAGUAAUGUAUCGGAACGUGCCCAGUCGUGGGGGAUAACUGCUCGAAAGAGCAGCUAAUACCGCAUACGACCUGAGGGUGAAAGCGGGGGAUCGCAAGACCUCGCGCGAUUGGAGCGGCCGAUAUCAGAUUAGGUAGUUGGUGAGGUAAAGGCUCACCAAGCCGACGAUCUGUAGCUGGUCUGAGAGGACGACCAGCCACACUGGGACUGAGACACGGCCCAGACUCCUACGGGAGGCAGCAGUGGGGAAUUUUGGACAAUGGGCGCAAGCCUGAUCCAGCCACGCCGCGUGCGGGAAGAAGGCCUUCGGGUUGUAAACCGCUUUUGUCAGGGAAGAAAAGGUUCUGGCUAAUACCUGGGACUCAUGACGGUACCUGAAGAAUAAGCACCGGCUAACUACGUGCCAGCAGC
RNAcentral lists this ribosomal RNA (425 nucleotides) under uncultured Roseateles sp. RNAcentral describes it as "bacterial SSU rRNA". It matches the Rfam family "Bacterial small subunit ribosomal RNA", at positions 94 to 515 of the family's 1533-position model. Lineage: Bacteria; Pseudomonadati; Pseudomonadota; Betaproteobacteria; Burkholderiales; Sphaerotilaceae. The record is from RNAcentral.